CUUCAGUCUCCGCAAUUAAGUCGUACAGCAGGCAUGCCCCCUGUUGCAGCUGCGCUGUCAAUCUCAUUUUGAAGCACAAAUGAUCUUAGACCCAGUGUUUGACAUGGGGUUUUAACACCAAAGAAGGCAAUUCUGCAACUUCAAAUGAGCCUAAUUGGCUGAGCGCUCGGGCGUUCACUCAAGCUGCUUCAGUCCAUCAGAGAGAGAUUUCCCGCUAAUUGAACUGCUCAGAAGGAAAAGGACCACGAGGAAUCACGAGACCUCUUGCUCCUGCUUGCUUCUGCCAUCCAGCAUCUAUCUGCUAUCCUCUGCUCUCGGAGAGGCACAGCUGUGUGUGAGUCCCAUGGAGUCUUAACUAAGAUUGAAAUCUGAGGCUGAUGUUGGUGUUCUCAUGGGAACAAGAAUCCUGACUCUAUGUAUUGAUGUACGGUCAAGGGAGGUAGAGCAGUCUGCUCAAACCAGAACUAGACCUCAGCUGUUCUGCUUUUCAGCCCAUCUUCUUCUAACUAUAAUGCAGUGUUAAAUUGAGAAGGAUGAAGCUAAAGAAAAUUUUCAUUUGUUUUGCAUUUUUACCUCCAUGAAACUCGAGUCUCUUUCCGUCUCUUACCCUCCGAAGAGGAGCCUGUCUCUGGAUCUCGGGAUUUUCCACUGAAGAAUCAGAAGAAAGUGGGGAGGACGAUUAGCCCUGAGCUAACAUCUGCUACCAAUCCACCUCUCUUUUUGCUGAGGAAGACUGGCCCUGAGCUAACAUCCAUGCCCAUCUUCCUCUACUUUACAUGUGGGACACCUACCACAGCAUGGCUUUUGCCAAGCGGUGCCAUGUGCGCACCCAGGAUCCGAACCGGCGAACCCCAGGUGCCGAGAAGGGGAAUGUGCACACUUAACUGCUGCGCCACCAGGCCAGCCCCUGGGACAAGCUUUUCCAUGAGACGUUAGUUGUGCAAACUUAAAGCAGUGAUUAUAACCAAAGGAUGCUUGAGACCAGUGGCUCCAAGGAGCUCCAGAUAAAAACAUAACAUAUUGUCUAAAUGGCUGUUGAAGAACGUGUCCGGGAAGACUGGAGGCUGUAUAAAUUGUUUCCUUUUUCCUUUCGAGAAACAACGUCAAAAAGAAAUGGCUGUGUUUCCUCCUGUCUACAUACAGAGAAACCCUUUGGAAAGUGGUGAAUUUUUCAGGGAGUGUCUUAAGCUUGAAAAGCAGGCAAUCAUAGGAUAGAAAUGUGAAAAGAUUUUCAGCUGGCAAUCCCAGAGGACUUGAUUUAUAAAUGUACUUCCUCUAUAUUUUGGAUUUAAUUUCCUAUCUUUUUGUCUAACCUGAAUGUUAAGAGUUGGGGGAAAAAUGGCCAAAUUCAAACACCUUUCUACUAUCCAAGAUUGAGGUUUCAC
RNAcentral lists this long non-coding RNA (1385 nucleotides) under Equus caballus (horse). Its description in RNAcentral is "lncRNA (ENSECAG00000044836.1)". The record is from RNAcentral. Lineage: Eukaryota; Metazoa; Chordata; Mammalia; Perissodactyla; Equidae.